GGGCGCAUAGCUCAGCGGGAGAGCGGCUGCCUUACAAGCAGUAGGUCCCUGGUUCGAUCCCAGGUGUGCCCA
RNAcentral lists this transfer RNA (72 nucleotides) under Bradymonas sediminis. It matches the Rfam family "tRNA". From Rfam's summary of the family: Transfer RNA (tRNA) molecules are approximately 80 nucleotides in length. Their secondary structure includes four short double-helical elements and three loops (D, anti-codon, and T loops). Further hydrogen bonds mediate the characteristic L-shaped molecular structure. tRNAs have two regions of fundamental functional importance: the anti-codon, which is responsible for specific mRNA codon recognition, and the 3' end, to which the tRNAs corresponding amino acid is attached (by aminoacyl-tRNA synthetases). tRNAs cope with the degeneracy of the genetic code in two manners: having more than one tRNA (with a specific anti-codon) for a particular amino acid; and 'wobble' base-pairing, i.e. permitting non-standard base-pairing at the 3rd anti-codon position. The record is from Rfam by way of RNAcentral. Lineage: Bacteria; Deltaproteobacteria; Bradymonadales; Bradymonadaceae.